CGACGUCAUGACCUGCUGUCCUGCAGGAUUCUGGUGCUAGGACGUAAUAUAUAUUCAUUCCUCAAGGAAAGUUCAAAACUUGUCUCCUGAGUCUGCAGUGUCAUGUCAUAUUUUGUUUUACAGUAAAUUGUCAAAGAUUUGGUUCUUACGUUUCAGUGGUAGAAGAUAAGAAACAGAAUGGUGUAGAUAGCAGAGACUACACAUGAUCUUAAAGUUGUUUGUUGUACAGGUAACUCUUUGUUUGGACAUCAAAAGCUCGAACAUCAAGAUGAAAAUCUUGUUCCUAUUGGUCACCUUCUGUGCUGGACUUUGUCUGUCUCAAUUGGUGGUUCCACAAAUAAAUGUUUGUGAGUAUUGUCAGGCAGGAAAAGUUCAAUGUUUAAAUAACUGUAUUUCCAUGGCGACGCUCUCUAACCCCGACGCCUACGUGAACGGACUAUUCUGUAUCUGUGGUGACAACAAGGUCUGCAAGGAUCUAUGUGCCCCUCUACUUGGGCAAAUAGGAAUUUAGAAUGUGGUGUGCAUGUAAUCACAUUCAGGUGUUCCAGUUCUUUGUAUUCAACCAGAUCCUUGAAGGCAGACUUGCCGUGAGAAAAUAAACAUUCACUUUCACAA
This is a long non-coding RNA of Biomphalaria glabrata, 615 nucleotides long. RefSeq lists it as uncharacterized. NCBI's taxonomy places the organism in Eukaryota, Metazoa, Mollusca, Gastropoda, Planorbidae. The transcript is spliced from 2 exons. The record is from RefSeq and is a predicted model, not a curated record.